RNAcentral lists this ribosomal RNA (1329 nucleotides) under Chitinophaga filiformis. RNAcentral's name for it is "bacterial LSU rRNA". It matches the Rfam family "Bacterial large subunit ribosomal RNA", at positions 1562 to 2925 of the family's 2925-position model. Lineage: Bacteria; Pseudomonadati; Bacteroidota; Chitinophagia; Chitinophagales; Chitinophagaceae. The record is from RNAcentral.
GUACAGCAAAGCUUCGGCCGCGCUGAUAAUGUCCCUAAUCAGACUUCCAAGAAAAACCUCUAAGGUUCGGUUAUAGCAGCCCGUACCGUAAACCGACACAGGUAGUCGAGGAGAAUAUCCUCAGGCGCUCGAGUGAUCCGUGGUAAAGGAACUAGGCAAAUUGACGCUGUAACUUCGGGAUAAGGCGUACUGCAGUGAUGCAGUCUCAGUAAAAUGGUCCAACCAACUGUUUAACAAAAACACAGGGCCCUGCAAAAUCGAAAGAUGACGUAUAGAGCCUGAUACCUGCCCGGUGCUGGAAGGUUAAGGAAGGAUGUUCGGGGUAACCCAAAGCUUCUGACUGAAGCCCCAGUAAACGGCGGCCGUAACUAUAACGGUCCUAAGGUAGCGAAAUUCCUUGUCGGGUAAGUUCCGACCUGCACGAAUGGUCUAAUGAGUUGGACACUGUCUCUACCACGAGCUCGGUGAAAUUGUAGUAUCGGUGAAGAUGCCGGUUAAUCGCAACGGGACGGAAAGACCCCGUGAACCUUCACUACAACUUAACAUUGAUUUUGAACAACAGAUGUGUAGGAUAGUUGGGAGACUAUGAAGCAGCUUCGCCAGGAGUUGUGGAGUCAACGUUGAAAUACCAACCUUCUGUUGUUUAGAGUCUAACCUGGAAGCAGGGACAUUGUUUGGUGGGUAGUUUGACUGGGGUGGUCGCCUCCUAAAAAGUAACGGAGGCUCGCAAAGGUACCCUCAGUACGGUUGGUAAUCGUACGCAGAGCGCAUUAGUAAAAGGGUGCUUGACUGUGAGGCCGACAAGCCGAGCAGGAGCGAAAGCUGGCUAAAGUGAUCCGGUGGUUCUGUAUGGAAGGGCCAUCGCUCAAAGGAUAAAAGGUACUCCGGGGAUAACAGGCUGAUCUCCCCCAAGAGCUCAUAUCGACGGGGAGGUUUGGCACCUCGAUGUCGGUUCGUCACAUCCUGGGGCUGGAGAAGGUCCCAAGGGUUCGGCUGUUCGCCGAUUAAAGUGGCACGUGAACUGGGUUCAGAACGUCGCAAGACAGUUCGGUCCCUAUCUGUUGUGAUCGUUAGUAAAUUGCGAGGACAUGACCUUAGUACGAGAGGACCGGGUCGUACGUACCGCUGGUGUAUCAGUUGUGCCGCCAGGUGCAGUGCUGAGUAGCUAUGUACGGAAAGGAUAAACGCUGAAAGCAUCUAAGCGUGAAACCAACCUCAAGAUGAGUUUACUUUUAAGGGCCGUCGCAGACUACGACGUUGAUAGGCUACAGGUGUAAGGGUGGUAACAUCGAAGCCGAGUAGUACUAAUUGCCCGUAAGCUUUAAUUUU